RNAcentral lists this long non-coding RNA (623 nucleotides) under Fukomys damarensis (Damara mole-rat). RNAcentral describes it as "lncRNA (ENSFDAG00000028036.1)". The record is from RNAcentral. Lineage: Eukaryota; Metazoa; Chordata; Mammalia; Rodentia; Bathyergidae.
AAACAUUUAUACUCUUCAGCUGCAUGGGAGCGAGAGCUGCACGGGGGCGAGAGUACCGCCCACACCUUCCAGAGGGAAACAAUAACAACCAUUAUGGGUUACAUCUGCUACCAGCUGAACUUGCCCGUUGGUAUGGACGACAGCACGUCCGUGCCGGCGAGGUGACUCAAGGUUCAAUCAUGGCUAGGCCUACGUCAAGGCUCACCAUGAUGGCUCACCAUAACCUACCGGAACAUCUGCCCAGCAGAUGGAAGAAAUGGAAAGUGAAGAGAGGGAGAUCCGCCCAGCAAGAUCAUUGCCAGAAUGGUGAGAUGAUGAAAGUAUCACUGUGGAGUCAGACAAACCAGUCACAGCUAUGCUACUGUGUCUUCAGAAGUUUAUUACCUGGAAACUGAGAGGCCAGCUAAUUUGAGUGAAAAGCAGUGAGACCCUAUACUACCUCAGACAUUCAGCCUCUUAGUCAUCACUCUGUCAGUGACACAAACAGAAUAUUCUGUGUGCGACCCGCAGGACGCAUGGACCAGCAUGAGGACAUAGACCAGAGAGAUGGGAAAUUCACCUCUGUUCUCUGGUAGCUCUUUCCCACCUCACUCCCAAAAAAGCAAGCAAACUCUCAGUCCCAC